RNAcentral lists this unclassified non-coding RNA (276 nucleotides) under Bombus terrestris (buff-tailed bumblebee). RNAcentral's name for it is "misc RNA ENSBTSG00005026961.1". Lineage: Eukaryota; Metazoa; Arthropoda; Insecta; Hymenoptera; Apidae. The record is from RNAcentral.
AUAAUUAUUCAGCUAAACACGGCGUCUAUCAUUAUUUCGUAUAAUUGAUGGAAACGAGUAGGAAUUACCUCAAAUAAUUAUGGAGCAAUGUGUUCUCGUUUUUGAAUAAUUAUUUCGAGGCGAGCCUUCGAAUUAAUCAAUCGAAACUUCGCAUUGUACACGAUCACAAAAAGUUUCGGGGAUUAUUCAAAAUCCAGGAUACGGCGAUUACAGGAUAUCUGAGAACCCGUUUAAAAACGAUUAGCAGGACGAUCGUGACACCAAAGUCGACUUGCG